Molecule: long non-coding RNA, 778 nt
Filed under: Capsicum annuum
Lineage: Eukaryota; Viridiplantae; Streptophyta; Magnoliopsida; Solanales; Solanaceae
Description: long non-coding RNA (CANN_LNC008603)
Source: RNAcentral
GUUUAUAUAGCCAUCAAGUGCCUCUUUCCAAAAGUAAAAAUGAUUCAUUUGAAAAGAUGUAUCUUUGAAACAGUCAGGUCUGUUCAUUCGGUAUGUAUUUUUCUGAACAAACAUAACUAUCUGAAUAGUCACUUUUUUUCCAAAACAAUAUAUCUUUUCCUUAAAGAUUGUAUUCUCCAUUUUCCAUUUACACCUUUUUCAUACAUAUUGAACCCAGGCAGUUAAACAAGUUCAAGUAUCAUAGCUGUGACACAUGAAAGGGGUAGUACGCAGAAAAUUUCCAUCCCAAAAAUCACUCCACCAUCGGCUCUUAAGUUUAAGAAAGUAGGAGGUUUGUCGAGUCACUCUACUAUAUGAGUGAGUCAGAAAUUGAUUGUUGUAGAAAGUAGUAAGUCACCAAUUAAGGCAAGAGAAACUCCAGAUGGUAAAGAAUCUAUGAAAUUGGAUGAUGUAGGACCUCAACCACCACAUCAAAAAUGGGUUGGACUCUUUACAGGUAAUAGAUCUGUUGAAAAUGGUUUAGUACUAUGAUAUAUAUUACCUCGGAAGUGCAAGACGGUUAAGUAGUCGGAAGUAGAUACUGAAAUGCAAAAGUGGAAGUAUGCCUUGAUAGCCUAUCUAAUUGGGGAUCUUUCUGGUAUAACUAUAUGCCUAGGUUUAUUGCCCAAAAUCGGUCCUAAGCUGCAGAACCUGAUAUCUAUUACCAUGAGGAUGAGUAUUAUAUAGUUAGGUUCCAGUCAGGGGAGGAUAUGCAAGUAGUUUGUGUGUAGGUCCUUAU